Arabidopsis lyrata subsp. lyrata is the source of this 1092-nucleotide long non-coding RNA. RefSeq lists it as uncharacterized. The transcript is spliced from 3 exons. The record is from RefSeq and is a predicted model, not a curated record. NCBI's taxonomy places the organism in Eukaryota, Viridiplantae, Streptophyta, Magnoliopsida, Brassicales, Brassicaceae.
AGAAUGCCACCCUCAUAUUUUCAUUUUCUUUUACAAUAUUUUUUAAACUCAAAAAUUAAGGAAAUUCCCAAAAACCCAUUGUCAAUAUGGAAAACUACCAAUCCAACAUGAAGUAUCCGAUUAUCUGCUCCAAAUUUGAUAAUCCGACCCGAAUCCACACAAAAUACUCUAUUUUUUUCUUCUUCGUUUCUUUGUCAAUUUUCUUCAAUUGCUUAUUCUUCUUCUUUUCCUCUUCUUCUUAAGCUCCAAAAAUCCCCAAAUCUUGAACUUCAAUCCAAGAACCACUUAAGUUGAGAGUCGAAAUCAGAGUUUCGGAGAUCUCGAUUGAGGGGUCUUCCAUCUGAUGUGUUGCCUCAUAAGAUAUUAGAAUCUGAAGCGAAUAACUUGGUGGGUGAGGUUGUGAAAUCUCAGAAGCAAGAACCGAUUCGGGGAUCUUUGAGAACAGAGAUUGGAUCUGCAGAUUCGUUGCUGAGGAAAGCUGACUCGCCAUUGAUCGUGUUUGGUAAAGGAGUUGCUUAUUACUUUGAUUCCAGUUGUUUAUUCGUUGAUUGUUUUGGGGGCUCAGUAAACUUGCUCGAAUUGUACCUUUCACCUGGUUUUGUUUUGCCAAUGACUGGUUCCGUCUUCUAUUUUGUCUCAGUUUGGUCAUUUGUCCUUGAAGAUGCAAAUUUGGUCCGUCGCGGUGAGCGUUAGUGCUUGUACGGAUAAUUAAUUCUGCUCGGAUAGUUCGAUCGAGCUCUUUCUUUGAUAUGGAUUGUGUACAAAGAGUCUACAUCAUUUGGUUCAAUAAAAUGAAGAAUUAAAAAGCUUUGUGGAGAGUUUAAUAGUGGUUUGAAGGAUGAUUUGGUGUUGGGAGAUCCUACUGCGCCAAGAGAUCAUGCGCCAAGCAGGUUUUGUAUCAUCCCCAAGAGACAGAGGCUUGAGCCGACCGAGAGAGGUCGAGAUUUGCAUCUCCAAGAUUGCACAUGGCUUAUGUUUUUGUAUUUCAUUUAUGUAUUUUGUUGGGUUGUAGAUUAAGAACAUAUGACUUCAUAUUUUUGUAGACCAAAAAAAUAUUUAGAUUAUAUUUAAGUUCAGUUGGUUUUGUAGGUA